This 73-nucleotide transfer RNA is filed under the name Brettanomyces bruxellensis AWRI1499. It matches the Rfam family "tRNA". Rfam says of the family: Transfer RNA (tRNA) molecules are approximately 80 nucleotides in length. Their secondary structure includes four short double-helical elements and three loops (D, anti-codon, and T loops). Further hydrogen bonds mediate the characteristic L-shaped molecular structure. tRNAs have two regions of fundamental functional importance: the anti-codon, which is responsible for specific mRNA codon recognition, and the 3' end, to which the tRNAs corresponding amino acid is attached (by aminoacyl-tRNA synthetases). tRNAs cope with the degeneracy of the genetic code in two manners: having more than one tRNA (with a specific anti-codon) for a particular amino acid; and 'wobble' base-pairing, i.e. permitting non-standard base-pairing at the 3rd anti-codon position. The record is from Rfam by way of RNAcentral. Lineage: Eukaryota; Fungi; Ascomycota; Pichiomycetes; Pichiales; Pichiaceae.
GGGCGUGUAGCGCAGUUGGUAGCGCGUCUGCCUUGCAAGCAGAAGGUUACUGGUUCAAAUCCUGUCUCGUCCA